This 328-nucleotide ribosomal RNA is filed under the name uncultured bacterium. Its description in RNAcentral is "bacterial SSU rRNA". It matches the Rfam family "Bacterial small subunit ribosomal RNA", at positions 568 to 898 of the family's 1533-position model. The record is from RNAcentral.
CGUGUAGGUGGAACUUUAAGUCGGUGGUGAAAGCCUGCAGCUUAACUGCAGAACUGCCCUCGAUACUGAAGUUCUUGAGUACGGCAGAGGGAGAUGGAAUUCAUGGUGUAGCGGUGAAAUGUGUAGAUAUCAUGAAGAACGCCGGUAGCGAAGGCGGUCUCCUGGUCCGUAACUGACACUGAGGCGCGAAAGCGUGGGGAGCAAACAGGAUUAGAUACCCUGGUAGUCCACGCCUUAAACGAUGGGUACUAGGUGCUGGGCCGCAAGGUUCAGUGCCAAAGCUAACGCAUUAAGUACCCCACCUGGGGAGUACGAUCGCAAGGUUGAA